This 253-nucleotide ribosomal RNA is filed under the name uncultured bacterium. RNAcentral's name for it is "partial 16S ribosomal RNA". It matches the Rfam family "Bacterial small subunit ribosomal RNA", at positions 524 to 776 of the family's 1533-position model. The record is from RNAcentral.
UACGUAGGGUGCAAGCGUUGUCCGGAAUUACUGGGCGUAAAGCGUGCGCAGGCGGUUGUGCAAGUCCGUUGUGAAAUCCCCGGGCUCAACCUGGGAAUGGCAUUGGUGACUGCACGGCUAGAGUGUGUCAGAGGGGGGUAGAAUUCCACGUGUAGCAGUGAAAUGCGUAGAGAUGUGGAGGAAUACCGAUGGCGAAGGCAGCUCCCUGGGAUAACACUGACGCUCAUGCACGAAAGCGUGGGGAGCAAACAGG